RNAcentral lists this long non-coding RNA (218 nucleotides) under Eucalyptus grandis. RNAcentral's name for it is "long non-coding RNA (EGRA_LNC002388)". The record is from RNAcentral. Lineage: Eukaryota; Viridiplantae; Streptophyta; Magnoliopsida; Myrtales; Myrtaceae.
UUGGGCCCAUCCAAGAAACUAGAGAAGCUCAUUUUGUUCAACCCAGCAAAGCCCAAGUGAUUCAACCUCAGGCCCAAUUCCAUUGCAAGCUUAAGGCCCACUUGAAUUCAAGCCCAACUCAGCCUUUCCAAGCCCACGUUAAUUGAAGCCCGCGAAGCAACUCAAGCCUAGUCCAAUUUCAAAAGCAAAUCUCAGAUUUGGGCUGAGAUUUGUUGGGC